CACGUAGGGCGCGAGCGUUGUCCGGAAUUAUUGGGCGUAAAGGGCUCGUAGGCGGCCAACUAAGUCGGACGUGAAAUCCCUCGGCUUAACCGGGGAACUGCGUCCGAUACUGGAUGGCUGGAGGUUGGGAGAGGGAUGCGGAAUUCCAGGUGUAGCGGUGAAAUGCGUAGAUAUCUGGAGGAACACCGGUGGCGAAGGCGGCAUCCUGGACCAACACUGACACUGAGGAGCGAAAGCCAGGGGAGCAAACGGG
Molecule: ribosomal RNA, 253 nt
Filed under: uncultured bacterium
Lineage: Bacteria
Description: partial 16S ribosomal RNA
Rfam family: Bacterial small subunit ribosomal RNA
Source: RNAcentral